Molecule: ribosomal RNA, 600 nt
Filed under: Shewanella sp. J2066c
Lineage: Bacteria; Pseudomonadati; Pseudomonadota; Gammaproteobacteria; Alteromonadales; Shewanellaceae
Description: bacterial SSU rRNA
Rfam family: Bacterial small subunit ribosomal RNA
Source: RNAcentral
ACUGCUAAUACCGCAUACGCCCUACGGGGGAAAGGAGGGGACCUUCGGGCCUUUCGCGAUUGGAUGAACCUAGGUGGGAUUAGCUAGUAGGUGGGGUAAUGGCUCACCUAGGCAACGAUCCCUAGCUGGUCUGAGAGGAUGAUCAGCCACACUGGAACUGAGACACGGUCCAGACUCCUACGGGAGGCAGCAGUGGGGAAUAUUGGACAAUGGGCGAAAGCCUGAUGCAGCCAUGCCGCGUGUAUGAAGAAGGCCUUCGGGUUGUAAAGUACUUUCAGCGAGGAGGAAAGGUAAGUAGUUAAUAACUGCUUACUGUGACGUUACUCGCAGAAGAAGCACCGGCUAACUUCGUGCCAGCAGCCGCGGUAAUACGAGGGGUGCAAGCGUUAAUCGGAAUUACUGGGCGUAAAGCGUACGCAGGCGGUUUGUUAAGCAAGAUGUGAAAGCCCCGGGCUCAACCUGGGAACUGCAUUUUGAACUGGCAAACUAGAGUCUUGUAGAGGGGGGUAGAAUUUCAGGUGUAGCGGUGAAAUGCGUAGAGAUCUGAAGGAAUACCGGUGGCGAAGGCGGCCCCCUGGACAAAGACUGACGCUCAGGUAC